GGGUGAUCUGGCUGUGACAUCUGCGACCUCACUGAUCACUAGUGUUGAAACAUGGCUGGCUAUCCUCUUUUACCACCCCAUGUGCAGUGCUUCCAAAGCUGAACCCUGGAUGGGAGAGGAGGAUCUUCUCCAAUAGAGGAGAAUCAUUCUUAGGUCAAGAGUAUUAGAGUAGCAAUGCUCCUCUGUCAGAACCUUCAAGCAAGUUCUCAAAGUCCUUUUGUAAGAGAACGUGUAAUUGAGCUUUCAAGACUGCAGACACAUCCAAAUAAGGAGUUGCAAAUGGCAAUCUGUCUUUUUUU
Tupaia belangeri (northern tree shrew) is the source of this 299-nucleotide unclassified non-coding RNA. Its record names the gene 7SK. It matches the Rfam family "7SK RNA". From Rfam's summary of the family: 7SK was discovered as an abundant small nuclear RNA in the mid-70s but a possible function has only recently been suggested. Lineage: Eukaryota; Metazoa; Chordata; Mammalia; Scandentia; Tupaiidae. The record is from Ensembl.